AGAGUUUGAUCCUGGCUCAGGAUGAACGCUAGCUACAGGCUUAACACAUGCAAGUCGAGGGGCAGCAUGGUCUUAGCUUGCUAAGGCCGAUGGCGACCGGCGCACGGGUGAGUAACACGUAUCCAACCUGCCGUCUACUCUUGGACAGCCUUCUGAAAGGAAGAUUAAUACAAGAGGGCAUCAUGAGUUCACAUGUUCACAUGAUUAAAGGUUUUCCGGUAGACGAUGGGGAUGCGUUCCAUUAGAUAGUAGGCGGGGUAACGGCCCACCUAGUCUUCGAUGGAUAGGGGUUCUGAGAGGAAGGUCCCCCACAUUGGAACUGAGACACGGUCCAAACUCCUACGGGAGCAGCA
RNAcentral lists this ribosomal RNA (353 nucleotides) under uncultured bacterium. RNAcentral's name for it is "bacterial SSU rRNA". It matches the Rfam family "Bacterial small subunit ribosomal RNA", at positions 8 to 353 of the family's 1533-position model. The record is from RNAcentral.